GGUUAAGCGACUAAGCGUACACGGUGGAUGCCCUGGCAGUCAGAGGCGAUGAAGGACGUGCUAAUCUGCGAUAAGCGUCGGUAAGGUGAUAUGAACCGUUAUAACCGGCGAUUUCCGAAUGGGGAAACCCAGUGUGUUUCGACACACUAUCAUUAACUGAAUCCAUAGGUUAAUGAGGCGAACCGGGGGAACUGAAACAUCUAAGUACCCCGAGGAAAAGAAAUCAACCGAGAUUCCCCCAGUAGCGGCGAGCGAACGGGGAGCAGCCCAGAGCCUGAAUCAGUGUGUGUGUUAGUGGAAGCGUCUGGAAAGGCGCGCGAUACAGGGUGACAGCCCCGUACACAAAAAUGCACAUACUGUGAGCUCGAUGAGUAGGGCGGGACACGUGGUAUCCUGUCUGAAUAUGGGGGGACCAUCCUCCAAGGCUAAAUACUCCUGACUGACCGAUAGUGAACCAGUACCGUGAGGGAAAGGCGAAAAGAACCCCGGCGAGGGGAGUGAAAAAGAACCUGAAACCGUGUACGUACAAGCAGUGGGAGCCUCUUAAUGGGGUGACUGCGUACCUUUUGUAUAAUGGGUCAGCGACUUAUAUUCUGUAGCAAGGUUAACCGAAUAGGGGAGCCGAAGGGAAACCGAGUCUUAACUGGGCGUUAAGUUGCAGGGUAUAGACCCGAAACCCGGUGAUCUAGCCAUGGGCAGGUUGAAGGUUGGGUAACACUAACUGGAGGACCGAACCGACUAAUGUUGAAAAAUUAGCGGAUGACUUGUGGCUGGGGGUGAAAGGCCAAUCAAACCGGGAGAUAGCUGGUUCUCCCCGAAAGCUAUUUAGGUAGCGCCUCGUGAAUUCAUCUCCGGGGGUAGAGCACUGUUUCGGCAAGGGGGUCAUCCCGACUUACCAACCCGAUGCAAACUGCGAAUACCGGAGAAUGUUAUCACGGGAGACACACGGCGGGUGCUAACGUCCGUCGUGAAGAGGGAAACAACCCAGACCGCCAGCUAAGGUCCCAAAGUCAUGGUUAAGUGGGAAACGAUGUGGGAAGGCCCAGACAGCCAGGAUGUUGGCUUAGAAGCAGCCAUCAUUUAAAGAAAGCGUAAUAGCUCACUGGUCGAGUCGGCCUGCGCGGAAGAUGUAACGGGGCUAAACCAUGCACCGAAGCUGCGGCAGCGACACUAUGUGUUGUUGGGUAGGGGAGCGUUCUGUAAGCCUGCGAAGGUGUACUGUGAGGUAUGCUGGAGGUAUCAGAAGUGCGAAUGCUGACAUAAGUAACGAUAAAGCGGGUGAAAAGCCCGCUCGCCGGAAGACCAAGGGUUCCUGUCCAACGUUAAUCGGGGCAGGGUGAGUCGACCCCUAAGGCGAGGCCGAAAGGCGUAGUCGAUGGGAAACAGGUUAAUAUUCCUGUACUUGGUGUUACUGCGAAGGGGGGACGGAGAAGGCUAUGUUGGCCGGGCGACGGUUGUCCCGGUUUAAGCGUGUAGGCUGGUUUUCCAGGCAAAUCCGGAAAAUCAAGGCUGAGGCGUGAUGACGAGGCACUACGGUGCUGAAGCAACAAAUGCCCUGCUUCCAGGAAAAGCCUCUAAGCAUCAGGUAACAUCAAAUCGUACCCCAAACCGACACAGGUGGUCAGGUAGAGAAUACCAAGGCGCUUGAGAGAACUCGGGUGAAGGAACUAGGCAAAAUGGUGCCGUAACUUCGGGAGAAGGCACGCUGAUAUGUAGGUGAAGUCCCUUGCGGAUGGAGCUGAAAUCAGUCGAAGAUACCAGCUGGCUGCAACUGUUUAUUAAAAACACAGCACUGUGCAAACACGAAAGUGGACGUAUACGGUGUGACGCCUGCCCGGUGCCGGAAGGUUAAUUGAUGGGGUUAGCGGUAACGCGAAGCUCUUGAUCGAAGCCCCGGUAAACGGCGGCCGUAACUAUAACGGUCCUAAGGUAGCGAAAUUCCUUGUCGGGUAAGUUCCGACCUGCACGAAUGGCGUAAUGAUGGCCAGGCUGUCUCCACCCGAGACUCAGUGAAAUUGAACUCGCUGUGAAGAUGCAGUGUACCCGCGGCAAGACGGAAAGACCCCGUGAACCUUUACUAUAGCUUGACACUGAACAUUGAGCCUUGAUGUGUAGGAUAGGUGGGAGGCUUUGAAGUGUGGACGCCAGUCUGCAUGGAGCCGGCCUUGAAAUACCACCCUUUAAUGUUUGAUGUUCUAACGUUGGCCCCUUACCGGGGUUGCGGACAGUGUCUGGUGGGUAGUUUGACUGGGGCGGUCUCCUCCUAAAGAGUAACGGAGGAGCACGAAGGUUGGCUAAUCCUGGUCGGACAUCAGGAGGUUAGUGCAAUGGCAUAAGCCAGCUUGACUGCGAGCGUGACGGCGCGAGCAGGUGCGAAAGCAGGUCAUAGUGAUCCGGUGGUUCUGAAUGGAAGGGCCAUCGCUCAACGGAUAAAAGGUACUCCGGGGAUAACAGGCUGAUACCGCCCAAGAGUUCAUAUCGACGGCGGUGUUUGGCACCUCGAUGUCGGCUCAUCACAUCCUGGGGCUGAAGUAGGUCCCAAGGGUAUGGCUGUUCGCCAUUUAAAGUGGUACGCGAGCUGGGUUUAGAACGUCGUGAGACAGUUCGGUCCCUAUCUGCCGUGGGCGCUGGAGAACUGAGGGGGGCUGCUCCUAGUACGAGAGGACCGGAGUGGACGCAUCACUGGUGUUCGGGUUGUCAUGCCAAUGGCACUGCCCGGUAGCUAAAUGCGGAAGAGAUAAGUGCUGAAAGCAUCUAAGCACGAAACUUGCCCCGAGAUGAGUUCUCCCUGACUCCUUGAGAGUCCUGAAGGAACGUUGAAGACGACGACGUUGAUAGGCCGGGUGUGUAAGCGCAGCGAUGCGUUGAGCUAACCGGUACUAAUGAACCGUGAGGCUUAACCUU
Molecule: ribosomal RNA, 2904 nt
Filed under: Escherichia coli
Lineage: Bacteria; Pseudomonadati; Pseudomonadota; Gammaproteobacteria; Enterobacterales; Enterobacteriaceae
Description: 23S ribosomal RNA
Rfam family: Bacterial large subunit ribosomal RNA
Source: RNAcentral